RNAcentral lists this ribosomal RNA (497 nucleotides) under uncultured bacterium. RNAcentral describes it as "partial 16S ribosomal RNA". It matches the Rfam family "Bacterial small subunit ribosomal RNA", at positions 28 to 507 of the family's 1533-position model. The record is from RNAcentral.
GAUGAACGCUGGCGGCGUGCCUAAUACAUGCAAGUCGAGCGAACGGACGAGAAGCUUGCUUCUCUGAUGUUAGCGGCGGACGGGUGAGUAACACGUGGAUAACCUACCUAUAAGACUGGGAUAACUUCGGGAAACCGGAGCUAAUACCGGAUAAUAUUUUGAACCGCAUGGUUCAAAAGUGAAAGACGGUCUUGCUGUCACUUAUAGAUGGAUCCGCGCUGCAUUAGCUAGUUGGUAAGGUAACGGCUUACCAAGGCAACGAUGCAUAGCCGACCUGAGAGGUGGACGGGCAAGAUGGAAACGGACAAACGGUCCAGCCCACGGCGGGGGGCAGCAGUGGGGAGUCUGCCAAAAUGGGCGAAGGCCUGAAGAAGCAGGGCCGGGGGAGUGAUGAGGGUCUUGGGAUCAAAAAACUGUUUUAUUGGAAAAAAAAAAAUGUGAAAGAAACUGUGCCAAUCUAGACGGUACUUAAACAGAAGGCCCGGCCAAACUCCGUC